AGCUUCCUGGGGUGCAUAGCUGAAGGUAGCAGGGAGCAAAAAGAAUCUGAAGGGGCAAGUGAACAAUGUAGAGCGUAUCUGUGCUGAAGACAUAAGGAGAGAGUGGAGGUCAGAAGCUGGCACGGUCCCUGGUGCACGUGUCAGCCGCUAAAGAAGUGGAGAGUAUGAACAUAAGCAAGAGGAAGUGAUGAGUAUCCCUUCCAGGAGAACUCUAAGAGGCAGUGAGUGAUUUGCUGGGCUCCCAAGCCCUCUGCUCUGAUGACAGCAAAGCCCCAAAUCAUGAUGCCUCCAUCAGUCGGGACCCCUCAGCAGAGCCAGCUUCACAGCUGGAGUGGAUGAAUCAGAACUUUCCCCAUGGGAGCAUUUAUAAAAAGGGGACACCCAGCGCAGAAGAUGUUUUCCAGGGAGAUCUCGGGGAGCCCAACAAGCCAAGAAGAGCAGAGCAAAGCAUUCCAAGGAAGGACUCUAAGUCUGCAACAGAGCACACACGAGGAUGGGAAUAGGGACAUCUGCUGCAUUUGGCUGUUGGAGAAACACGAGGAAAUCAUGGACAAGUGCCAGGUGUGGUGACA
Molecule: long non-coding RNA, 572 nt
Filed under: Pan troglodytes (chimpanzee)
Lineage: Eukaryota; Metazoa; Chordata; Mammalia; Primates; Hominidae
Description: lincRNA
Source: RNAcentral